Molecule: ribosomal RNA, 254 nt
Filed under: uncultured bacterium
Lineage: Bacteria
Description: partial 16S ribosomal RNA
Rfam family: Bacterial small subunit ribosomal RNA
Source: RNAcentral
UACGUAGGGGCCUAGCGUUGUCCGGAAUUAUUGGGCGUAAAGAGCUCGUAGGCGGUUCGGUAAGUCGGAUGUGAAAUCUCCACGCUCAACGUGGAGGGGCCAUUCGAAACUGCCGUGACUCGAGUCCGGUAGGGGAGUGUGGAAUUCCCGGUGUAGCGGUGAAAUGCGCAGAUAUCGGGAGGAACACCAGUAGCGAAGGCGGCACUCUGGGCCGGUACUGACGCUGAGGAGCGAAAGCGUGGGGAGCGAACAGG